AUGGGCAGAUCUGCAAUUUCUCAGGCCCUCCCGGUGCACCAGGAGGACGAAGACCUGUUCGAGACCUCGUCAUCCUUCUCCUGCGACUCCGACGACGAGGCCCAGUUCUCGGACGGCGAGGACCAGUUUGUGCCGGCUUCCCCGCCGGUGCGGAGACUCAACUCUGACAGCGUCUACGAUCUGUCGUCCAUCAAGGCUGAGCUCUCUGCCAAGAAAGAAGGGUUGUCCAAGUACUACGACGGAAAGUCCCAGUCGUUCGCGUGCAUGUCCGAGGUGAGGUGCCUGGAGGAUCUGCCCAAGAAGAGCCCCUACAAGAAGAUCAAGUCAUGCAGGAGCAACAUCAAUCUAGACGGAAACCAGAGAGAUUGCCCCGUAACUGGUUCUAACAACAGCAAAGGAAUCGCCAAGCAGAGCUCUGCGAGUUCCUGCGCGAAUCUGAUGAUGGCGCGGACCAGCAGCGCCAACAUGCUCUACAGGCCUCCGGCGAUCCCUGUUAACAAGAGCGCGUGCCACCAGUAG
This 519-nucleotide ribosomal RNA is filed under the name Triticum aestivum (bread wheat). RNAcentral describes it as "partial small subunit ribosomal RNA". Lineage: Eukaryota; Viridiplantae; Streptophyta; Magnoliopsida; Poales; Poaceae. The record is from RNAcentral.